RNAcentral lists this ribosomal RNA (429 nucleotides) under Chloroflexota bacterium. Its description in RNAcentral is "Chloroflexi bacterium partial 16S ribosomal RNA". It matches the Rfam family "Bacterial small subunit ribosomal RNA", at positions 355 to 776 of the family's 1533-position model. The record is from RNAcentral. Lineage: Bacteria; Bacillati; Chloroflexota.
UGGGGAAUAUUGCACAAUGGGCGCAAGCCUGAUGCAGCCAUGCCGCGUGUAUGAAGAAGGCCUUCGGGUUGUAAAGUACUUUCAGUCGGGAGGAAGGUGUCAAGGUUAAUAACCUUGGCAAUUGACGUUACCGACAGAAGAAGCACCGGCUAACUCCGUGCCAGCAGCCGCGGUAAUACGGAGGGUGCAAGCGUUAAUCGGAAUUACUGGGCGUAAAGCGCACGCAGGCGGUUGAUUGAGUCAGAUGUGAAAUCCCCGGGCUUAACCCGGGAAUUGCAUCUGAGACUGGUCAGCUAGAGUCUUGUAGAGGGGGGUAGAAUUCCAUGUGUAGCGGUGAAAUGCGUAGAGAUGUGGAGGAAUACCGGUGGCGAAGGCGGCCCCCUGGACAAAGACUGACGCUCAGGUGCGAAAGCGGGGGGAGCAAACAGG